This 492-nucleotide ribosomal RNA is filed under the name uncultured bacterium. RNAcentral's name for it is "partial 16S ribosomal RNA". It matches the Rfam family "Bacterial small subunit ribosomal RNA", at positions 29 to 507 of the family's 1533-position model. The record is from RNAcentral.
AGUGAACGCUGGCGGUAGGCCUAACACAUGCAAGUCGAACGGCAGCACAGUAAGAGCUUGCUCUUACGGGUGGCGAGUGGCGGACGGGUGAGGAAUACAUCGGAAUCUACUUUUUCGUGGGGGAUAACGUAGGGAAACUUACGCUAAUACCGCAUACGACCUACGGGUGAAAGCAGGGGAUCUUCGGACCUUGCGCGAUUGAAUGAGCCGAUGUCGGAUUAGCUAGUUGGCAGGGUAAAGGCCCACCAAGGCGACGAUCCGUAGCUGGUCUGAGAGGAUGAUCAGCCACACUGGAACUGAGACACGGUCCAGACUCCUACGGGAGGCAGCAGUGGGGAAUAUUGGGCAAUGGGCGCAAGCCUGAUCCAGCCAUACCGCGUGGGUGAAGAAGGCCUUCGGGUUGUAAAGCCCUUUUGUUGGGAAAGAAAAGCAGCAGGUUAAUACCCCGCUGUUCUGACGGUACCCAAAGAGUAAGCACCGGCUAACUUCGUG